UCGGAAAUGCCACUUUAUAAAUGGAGACAAUUACUUUACAAUUACUCAAACCCCUUAAAUAUUUCUUUUUGUAUUAUUAACAAUUCUUACUUCUUUUCCAUUUCUUCAAUUUCACACUGUAAUUUUCAUAUUAGGUUGGACAUAUUGCCAAAGAAUGGGAAUAUUCAUUGGGCCCUUUAAUCAAGUUUGAAAGAAAGGAGGUGGAAGUUAGAAUUCACAACUCUGGCGAGGGACCCCAAAUUGAAUGCGAGAUAAGCUUCCCGUUUGACAAGAACCUAGAUUUUGUCUGGAUAAGAGUGUACAGGGAGGAGGUUCGGAAGCAAGGAGGAAUAAUCCCAGGAGUGAGGACUAAAUUCAUUUUUGACCAAAAUCUACUUAAUUAAACAAUUGAUGUAAACAACUAUUUUUUUAUUUGAACAAUAAAUUUACAAUAUAG
Molecule: long non-coding RNA, 436 nt
Organism: Eurytemora carolleeae
Lineage: Eukaryota; Metazoa; Arthropoda; Copepoda; Calanoida; Temoridae
Exons: 2
Source: RefSeq, a predicted model, not a curated record